CCUUAACUUAGUGAAACUUCCAGGCUCCAUUUGAGGGUUUCCUCUCCCUGCAUUACUGUUUAGAAGUUCUCCAGGCAAUAAAAGACUCCAGAAAAUAGCUUUGAAACCUGCAUUCUAUAUAACAACUGUAUCAGUUACCUAUUUUUGCACAAAUAGAAGAAAAAGGAAAGAGGCACAUCUCAGCCUUCUUGUGUUUGGGACAACUAGACGGUACUUGAGCACUACUCUUAAACAGAGAAAUCACCAUAAAAAAGCACAAACUCAUAAAAAAUGUGCCACUAAAUAGACGGAGGAAAGAAUACCUGUAAAACAACAGCUUAUUCAACUUCAGCUGGAAAUGUGUGUGGUGCAGCCCAGAUUUUUCACCACUUGGCUCCUGUCCAGGAAUGACUGUGAAUGUGCUGUCAGUGUCGAUCUUGGGGUUACAAAUAAAUCGUAACAAAAAGAAGACAUCUCCCUGUAGCUCUCCAAAAGUGCUCAGAGCACACUGUACUACAAUUUCAAAAGGAAACCACCUCUACAGAUUCUUACUCUGAUGUGCCCUGAUAGCUUCAGAG
Long non-coding RNA from Canis lupus familiaris (dog), 557 nucleotides. RefSeq lists it as uncharacterized. The record is from RefSeq and is a predicted model, not a curated record. The transcript has 4 exons. Lineage: Eukaryota; Metazoa; Chordata; Mammalia; Carnivora; Canidae.